This 457-nucleotide ribosomal RNA is filed under the name uncultured bacterium. RNAcentral's name for it is "bacterial SSU rRNA". It matches the Rfam family "Bacterial small subunit ribosomal RNA", at positions 340 to 787 of the family's 1533-position model. The record is from RNAcentral.
UACGGAAGGCAGCAGUGGGGAAUAUUGCACAAUGGGCGCAAGCCUGAUGCAGCCAUGCCGCGUGUAUGAAGAAGGCCUUCGGGUUGUAAAGUACUUUCAGCGGGGAGGAAGGCGAUGUGGUUAAUAACCGCAUCGAUUGACGUUACCCGCAGAAGAAGCACCGGCUAACUCCGUGCCAGCAGCCGCGGUAAUACGGAGGGUGCAAGCGUUAAUCGGAAUUACUGGGCGUAAAGCGCACGCAGGCGGUCUGUCAAGUCGGAUGUGAAAUCCCCGGGCUUAACCUGGGAACUGCAUUCGAACUGGCAGGCUAGAGUCUUGUAGAGGGGGUAGAAUUCCAGGUGUAGCGGUGAAAUGCGUAGAGAUCUGGAGGAAUACCGGUGGCGAAGGCGGGCCCCUGGGACAAAGACUGACGCUCAGGGUGCGAAAGCGUGGGGAGCAAACGAGGAUUAGGAUAACC